RNAcentral lists this ribosomal RNA (2247 nucleotides) under Triticum aestivum (bread wheat). RNAcentral describes it as "partial small subunit ribosomal RNA". The record is from RNAcentral. Lineage: Eukaryota; Viridiplantae; Streptophyta; Magnoliopsida; Poales; Poaceae.
AUGGCGGGGCGCCGAGCGAUGAGGCCGGCCGCGUCCACGGGAGGCGGCAUGCGGGGGCUCGCCGCCGCGGCGCGCUCCUCGCCCGCGCUCUCCUUCCUGCUCGCCGCGGCCGCGGCCGCCGCGCUCGUCGGGGGCGCCUACUUCUGGGUGGUGGUCGCCUCGUUCCGCCUCCCCGAGCCCGGGGCCCUCGGGUGCCGGCCCGACGGCGAGGGCUCCUGGGCCAUCGGGGUCUUCUACGGCAGCAGCCCCUUCCACCUCCGCCCCAUCGAGCUGGAAGGGAAGAGCAGCGCCAACGGCUCCGCGUGGCCGGUGGCCAACCCCGUCCUCACCUGCGCCUCCGCCACCGACGCCGGCUACCCCAGCAACUUCGUCGCCGACCCCUUCCUCUACCUGCAGGGCGACACACUGUUUCUUUUCUUUGAAACAAAAACAACUUCCUCAAUGCAUGGUGAUAUUGGUGUUGCAAGAAGCUUCGAUCAAGGUGCAACAUGGGAGUUUCUUGGUAUUGCUCUAGAUGAGGCAUGGCACCUGUCCUACCCUUUUGUGUUCAAAUACGAGAAUGAGAUUUAUAUGAUGCCAGAGGGGAACAAAAAGAAGGAGCUUCGACUUUAUCGUGCUACUAAAUUUCCGCUUGAGUGGACAUUGGAGAAGGUGCUCAUCAACAAACCACUUAUUGACGCCUCAUUAGUCCAAUAUGAGGAUAACUGGUGGCUCUUUGCCUCGGAUUUUACACGGUAUGGAACUGAGAAGAAUGCAGAGCUUGAGAUUUGGUACAGUAGCUCUCCUCUUGGUCCUUGGAAAGAGCACAGGCAGAACCCUAUUUACAAAGCUGACAAAAGUUUGGGAGCUCGAAAUGGUGGAAGGCUCUUCAUGUUUGAAGGGUCGUUGUAUCGUCCAGGUCAGGAUUGCAGUGGAACCUAUGGGCGGAAGAUUAAGUUGUACAAAGUUGAAAAGCUAAGCAAGGAAGAAUACAAAGAGGUGCCAGUAGAACUUGGGAUUGAAGAGCCAAAGAAGGGGAGAAAUGCCUGGAAUGGUAUGAGGUACCAUCACUUGGACGCGCAGCAACUUGAGUCAGGUAGAUGGAUAGCUGUAAUGGAUGGUGAUCGUGUUCCUUCAGGCGAUUCAACACGAAGGUCUAUCUCUGGUUACCUGGGUUUUUUGCUAGCCAUAGUUCUGGUCACUUUUGUGGGUUUUGUGAAAGGUGCAAUCAAUUGCUACAUCCCUCCGAGUUUCUGGGCUGCCCCGGCAAGGAGAAAUGAAUUGUCCCGUAUCUUGCCUGUCUACCGCUUCAACCAGAAAGUCCGCAGAUAUUCUACCAGCCUUGGCAGAUACAUCACAGCCACCAAAGCAAGGCUCAAUGAGAAAACAUGGUCCAACAAGCUGUUCUUCUGCGUCAUUGCUCUGUUGGGGACCGUGAACGUCUGCAUCGCUGUGCAUUUCCUACUUGGUGGUAAUGGCACGGAAGAGGCAUACACACAUCAAGGUCAGCGCUCUCAGUUCACGAUGGUCACCAUGACAUAUGAAGCUCGGCUAUGGAACUUGAAAAUGUUCGUCGAACACUACUCCAGAUGCGAGUCGGUCAGGGAGAUAGUUGUCGUCUGGAACAAAGGCAACCCUCCUGGCAGCGAUGCCUUCGACUCCACGGUGCCUGUCAGGAUACGAGUGGAGGAGCUCAACUCUCUCAACAACAGGUUCAGAGUCGACCCUCUGAUAAAGACCCGGGCCGUCCUCGAGCUGGAUGAUGACAUCAUGAUGACCUGCAGCGACGUAGAGAAAGGGUUCAAGGUGUGGAGGGAGCACCCCGAGCGGAUGGUCGGCUUCUACCCGCGGAUGAUCGACGGCGACCCCCCGCAGUACAGGAACGAGCGGUACGCCAGGGGCAAGAAGGGCUACAACCUGAUCCUCACCGGUGCCGCAUUCAUGGACAGUGAGUUUGCCUUCAGGAGGUACUGGAGCGAGGAGGCCAGGGAAGGGAGGGACUACGUGCACAAGAACUUCAACUGCGAGGACCUGCUGAUGAACUUCAUGUACGCGAACGCGAGCUCCGGCGCCGGGGGGAGGACGGUGGAGUACGUGCACCCGGCAUGGGCCAUCGACACCUCCAAGCUCUCCUCCGUCGCCAUCAGCCGCGACACGCAGAAGCACUACGACGUCAGGACCAAGUGCCUGGCCAAGUUCUCCUCCAUAUAUGGCCCUCUGCCACAGAAAUGGGAGUUUGGCAGGCGAGAAGAUGGCUGGGACAAAUAG